AGGACAAGUUCUCUGAGUUCUGGGAUUUGGACCCUGAGGUCAGACCAACUUCAGCCGUGGCUGCCUGAGACCUCAAUACCCCAAGUCCACCUGCCUAUCCAUCCUGCGAGCUCCUUGGGUCCUGCAAUCUCCAGGGCUGCCCCUGUAGGUUGCUUAAAAGGGACAGUAUUCUCAGUGCUCUCCUACCCCACCUCAUGCCUGGCCCCCCUCCAGGCAUGCUGGCCUCCCAAUAAAGCUGGACAAGAAGCUGC
RNAcentral lists this long non-coding RNA (251 nucleotides) under Homo sapiens (human). RNAcentral describes it as "long non-coding RNA NONHSAT024359". The record is from RNAcentral. Lineage: Eukaryota; Metazoa; Chordata; Mammalia; Primates; Hominidae.